UACAGAGGGGGCAAGCGUUGUUCGGAAUUACUGGGCGUAAAGGGCGCGUAGGCGGCCGCCUAAGUCAGACGUGAAAUCCCUCGGCUCAACCGGGGAACUGCGUGUGAUACUGGGUGGCUUGAAUCCGGGAGAGGGAUGCGGAAUUCCAGGUGUAGCGGUGAAAUGCGUAGAUAUCUGGAGGAACACCGGUGGCGAAGGCGGCAUCCUGGACCGGCAUUGACGCUGAGGCGCGAAAGCCAGGGGAGCAAACGGG
This 253-nucleotide ribosomal RNA is filed under the name uncultured bacterium. RNAcentral describes it as "partial 16S ribosomal RNA". It matches the Rfam family "Bacterial small subunit ribosomal RNA", at positions 524 to 776 of the family's 1533-position model. The record is from RNAcentral.